UCUGCCGCAUUGCAGACAGAGGCUUUACCGUCUGAGUCACCGGGGAAGCCCAUAGGAUUUACCUCUCCCUGGGGAAAGGUACUGCUGCUGAGACACCCCUAAUGAACCACACUCCUUAGCGAACACAGAGCCAAGAACUCCAAAACUUGUUAAAAUAAGAAAUAUCCUCAUCAUCAAUGCAAGUGGAAGAAAAUCUCUCACAGCAGAG
Non-coding RNA from Odocoileus virginianus texanus, 208 nucleotides. The record is from RefSeq and is a predicted model, not a curated record. NCBI's taxonomy places the organism in Eukaryota, Metazoa, Chordata, Mammalia, Artiodactyla, Cervidae.